AACGAACGCUGGCGGCGUGCCUAACACAUGCAAGUCGUGCGAGAAAGUUCCUUCGGGAGCGAGUAAAGCGGCGCACGGGUGAGUAACACGUAGGUAACCUGCCCCCCAGUCUGGAACAACUAGAGGAAACUCUAGCUAAUGCCGGAUGAGACCACGAUCCCUUCGGGGGUUGCGGCCAAAGAUGGCCUCUACUUGUAAGCUAUCGCUGAGGGAUGGGCCUGCGGGCCAUUAGCUUGUUGGUGAGGUAACGGCUCACCAAGGCUGUGAUGGCUAGCUGGUCUGAGAGGAUGACCAGCCACACUGGGACUGAGACACGGCCCAGACUCCUACGGGAGGCAGCAGUGGGGAAUAUUGCGCAAUGGGCGAAGCCUGACGCAGCGACGCCGCGUGGGUGAUGAAGGCCUUC
This 406-nucleotide ribosomal RNA is filed under the name uncultured bacterium. RNAcentral describes it as "bacterial SSU rRNA". It matches the Rfam family "Bacterial small subunit ribosomal RNA", at positions 29 to 419 of the family's 1533-position model. The record is from RNAcentral.